ACUCAAAGGAAUUGACGGGGGCCCGCACAAGCGGUGGAGCAUGUGGUUCAAUUCGACGCGACGCGAAGAACCUUACCCAGGCUUGACAUGCACUGGACGGGUGUGGAAACACACCUUUCCUUCGGGACCGGUGCACAGGUGCUGCAUGGCUGUCGUCAGCUCGUGUCGUGAGAUGUUGGGUUAAGUCCCGCAACGAGCGCAACCCUUGUCCUUAGUUGCUAACGGAUAAUGCUGAGCACUCUAAGGAGACUGCCGGUGAUAAACCGGAGGAAGGUGGGGAUGACGUCAAGUCCUCAUGGCCCUUAUGCCUGGGGCUACACACGUGCUACAAUGGUCGGUACAAAGGGUUCCGAGACCGCGAGGUGGAGGCAAUCCCAAAAAACCGGCCUCAGUUCGGAUUGCAGUCUGCAACUCGACUGCAUGAAGUCGGAAUCGCUAGUAAUCGCUGAUCAGCAGGCAGCGGUGAAUACGUUCCCGGGCCUUGUACACACCGCCCGU
Molecule: ribosomal RNA, 498 nt
Filed under: uncultured bacterium
Lineage: Bacteria
Description: partial 16S ribosomal RNA
Rfam family: Bacterial small subunit ribosomal RNA
Source: RNAcentral